This 531-nucleotide ribosomal RNA is filed under the name uncultured Staphylococcus sp. Its description in RNAcentral is "bacterial SSU rRNA". It matches the Rfam family "Bacterial small subunit ribosomal RNA", at positions 392 to 913 of the family's 1533-position model. The record is from RNAcentral. Lineage: Bacteria; Bacillati; Bacillota; Bacilli; Caryophanales; Staphylococcaceae.
GCACGCCGCGUGAGUGAUGAAGGUCUUCGGAUCUGUAAAACUCUGUUAUUAGGGAAGAACAAAUGUGUAAGUAACUGUGCACGUCUUGACGGUACCUAAUCAGAAAGCCACGGCUAACUACGUGCCAGCAGCCGCGGUAAUACGUAAGUGGCAAGCGUUAUCCGGAAUUAUUGGGCGUAAAGCGCGCGUAGGCGGUUUCUUAAGUCUGAUGUGAAAGCCCACGGCUCAACCGUGGAGGGUCAUUGGAAACUGGGAAACUUGAGUGCACAAGAGGAAAGUGGAAUUCCAUGUGUAGCGGUGAAAUGCGCAGAGAUAUGGAGGAACACCAGUGGCGAAGGCGACUUUCUGGUCUGUAACUGACGCUGAUGUGCAAAAGCGUGGGGAUCAAACAGGAUUAGAUACCCUGGUAGUCCACGCCGUAAACGAUGAGUGCUAAGUGUUAGGGGGUUUCCGCCCCUUAGUGCUGCAGCUAACGCAUUAAGCACUCCGCCUGGGGAGUACUACCGCAAGGUUGAAACUCAAAGGAAUUGA